AUAACAUUUAGAGCGUCGGUCUACCGAGCAAUAUCACCGGCUCGGUGGAGGAUGUCUCCUUUGUCGU
Molecule: microRNA precursor, 67 nt
Filed under: Bombyx mori (domestic silkworm)
Lineage: Eukaryota; Metazoa; Arthropoda; Insecta; Lepidoptera; Bombycidae
Description: mir-2774 microRNA precursor family
Rfam family: mir-2774 microRNA precursor family
Source: Rfam by way of RNAcentral